GCCUGGCUAGCUCAAUCGGUAGAGCAUUUGACUCUUAAUCAAAAGGUUGCGGGUUCGAUCCCCGCGUCGGGCU
Molecule: transfer RNA, 73 nt
Filed under: Yamadazyma tenuis ATCC 10573
Lineage: Eukaryota; Fungi; Ascomycota; Pichiomycetes; Serinales; Debaryomycetaceae
Also listed under: 1 other name
Description: Candida tenuis ATCC 10573 tRNA
Rfam family: tRNA
About the family: Transfer RNA (tRNA) molecules are approximately 80 nucleotides in length. Their secondary structure includes four short double-helical elements and three loops (D, anti-codon, and T loops). Further hydrogen bonds mediate the characteristic L-shaped molecular structure. tRNAs have two regions of fundamental functional importance: the anti-codon, which is responsible for specific mRNA codon recognition, and the 3' end, to which the tRNAs corresponding amino acid is attached (by aminoacyl-tRNA synthetases). tRNAs cope with the degeneracy of the genetic code in two manners: having more than one tRNA (with a specific anti-codon) for a particular amino acid; and 'wobble' base-pairing, i.e. permitting non-standard base-pairing at the 3rd anti-codon position.
Source: Rfam by way of RNAcentral